Molecule: ribosomal RNA, 476 nt
Filed under: uncultured bacterium
Lineage: Bacteria
Description: bacterial SSU rRNA
Rfam family: Bacterial small subunit ribosomal RNA
Source: RNAcentral
AGCGAACGUUUGCGGCGGGCCUAACACAUGCAAGUCGAACGCACUAGCAAUAGUGAGUGGCGCACGGGUGCGUAACACGUGGGUAAUCAACCCUUCAGCCUGGGAUAACGACUCGAAAGGGUCGCUAAUACCGGAUACGGCGCGAGAGGCUUCGGCUUCUCACGAGAAAGCCACGCAAGGGGCACUGAAGGACGAGCCUGCGGCCCAUCAGCUAGUUGGUGAGGUAAGAGCUCACCAAGGCUAAGACGGGUAGCUGGUCUGAGAGGAUGAUCAGCCACACUGGAACUGAGACACGGUCCAGACUCCUACGGGAGGCAGCAGUGGGGAAUAUUGCGCAAUGGGCGAAAGCCUGACGCAGCCACGCCGCGUGAGCGAUGAAGGCCUCGGGUCGUAAAGCUCUGUGGGGAGAGACGAAGAAAGACCUGUGAGAGCAGGCCUGACGGUAGUCUCCUUAGCAAGCACCGGCUAACUACCGU